RNAcentral lists this ribosomal RNA (488 nucleotides) under uncultured Sphingobacteriales bacterium. Its description in RNAcentral is "bacterial SSU rRNA". It matches the Rfam family "Bacterial small subunit ribosomal RNA", at positions 894 to 1382 of the family's 1533-position model. The record is from RNAcentral. Lineage: Bacteria; Pseudomonadati; Bacteroidota; Sphingobacteriia; Sphingobacteriales.
CAGAAACUUAAAUGAAGUUGACGGGGCCCGCACAAGCGGUGGAGCAUGUGGUUUAAUUCGAAGCAACGCGAGGAACCUUACCUGGGCUCGAACGUAAGAUGACUGUAGGUGAAAGCUUACAUCUCUUCGGAGCAUUUUACGAGGUGCUGCAUGGUUGUCGUCAGCUCGUGCCGUGAGGUGUCGGGUUAAGUCCCAUAACGAGCGCAACCCCUACCUUUAGUUGCCAUCAGGUUAAGCUGGGGACUCUAAAGGAACUGCCUACGCAAGUAGUGAGGAAGGCGGGGAUGACGUCAAAUCAGCACGGCCCUUACGUCCAGGGCUACACACGUGCUACAAUGGCCGAUACAGAGGGCAGCUACCUGGUGACAGGAUGCAAAUCUCCAAAGUCGGUCUCAGUUCGGAUCGGAGUCUGCAACCCGACUCCGUGAAGUUGGAUUCGCUAGUAAUCGCGCAUCAGCCAUGGCGCGGUGAAUACGUUCCCGGGCCUU